RNAcentral lists this ribosomal RNA (460 nucleotides) under uncultured bacterium. RNAcentral's name for it is "partial 16S ribosomal RNA". It matches the Rfam family "Bacterial small subunit ribosomal RNA", at positions 338 to 795 of the family's 1533-position model. The record is from RNAcentral.
CCUACGGGGGGCAGCAGUGAGGAAUAUUGGUCAAUGGACGAGAGUCUGAACCAGCCAAGUAGCGUGAAGGAUGACUGCCCUAUGGGUUGUAAACUUCUUUUAUAUGGGAAUAAAACAGGGUAUGCAUACCCUCUUGUAUGUACCAUAUGAAUAAGGAUCGGCUAACUCCGUGCCAGCAGCCGCGGUAAUACGGAGGAUCCGAGCGUUAUCCGGAUUUAUUGGGUUUAAAGGGAGCGUAGGUGGAUUGUUAAGUCAGUUGUGAAAGUUUGCGGCUCAACCGUAAAAGUGCAGUUGAAACUGGCAGGCUUGAGUACAGUAGAGGUGGGCGGAAUUCGUGGUGUAGCGGGGAAAUGCUUAGAUAUCACGAAGAACUCCGAUUGCGAAGGCAGCUCACUGGACUGCAACUGACACUGAUGCUCGAAAGUGUGGGUAUCAAACAGGAUUAGAUACCCUUGUAGUC